This 467-nucleotide ribosomal RNA is filed under the name uncultured bacterium. RNAcentral describes it as "bacterial SSU rRNA". It matches the Rfam family "Bacterial small subunit ribosomal RNA", at positions 355 to 825 of the family's 1533-position model. The record is from RNAcentral.
UCGGGAAUAUUGGACAAUGGGUGAGAGCCUGAUCCAGCCAUGCCGCGUGCAGGAAGAAGGCGUUAUGCGUUGUAAACUGCUUUUUGCCAGGGGAUAAAAAGACCGUGCGCGGUUAAUUGAAGGUACCUGGUGAAUAAGCCACGGCUAACUACGUGCCAGCAGCCGCGGUAAUACGUAGGGACCAAGCGUUGUUCGGAUUUACUGGGCGUAAAGGGCGCGUAGGCGGCGUGGUAAGUCAUCUGUGAAAUCUCCGAGCUUAACUCGGAACGGUCAGAUGAUACUGCUGUGCUAGAGUACAGAAAGGGCAAUCGGAAUUCUUGGUGUAGCGGUGAAAUGCGUAGAUAUCAAGAGGAACACCUGAGGCGAAGGCGGGUUGCUAGGCUGAUACUGACGCUGAGGCGCGAAAGCUAGGGUAGCAAACGGGAUUAGAUACCCCCGUAGUCCCUGAGCGGGCUGGCAAGGCGCAU